GACGAACGCUGGCGGCGUGCCUAACACAUGCAAGUCGAACGGAGAAUUAGCAAUAAUUCUUAGUGGCGAACGGGUGAGUAACGCGUAGACAACCUACCCUUUAGAUGGGGACAACACCGCGAAAGUGGUGCUAAUACCGAAUAUUGCUUGAGAAGCGCAUGCUUUUCAAACUAAAGAUGGCCUCUAUUUAUAAGCUAUCGCUAAAGAAUGGGUCUGCGUCUGAUUAGCUAGUUGGUGGGAUAAAAGCUCACCAAGGCAACGAUCAGUAGCCGGUCUGAGAGGAUGAACGGCCACACUGGGACUGAGACACGGCCCAGACUCCUACGGGAGGCAGCAGUGGGGAAUCUUCCGCAAUGGACGAAAGUCUGACGGAGCAACGCCGCGUGAGUGAUGAAGGUUUUCGGAUCGUAAAACUCUGUUGUUAAGGACGAAUGUAUAGAUUGUGAAUAAUGGUUUAUAAUGACGGUACUUAACGAGGAAGCCACGGCUAACUACGUGCCAGCAGCCGCCGCAG
RNAcentral lists this ribosomal RNA (514 nucleotides) under uncultured bacterium. RNAcentral describes it as "partial 16S ribosomal RNA". It matches the Rfam family "Bacterial small subunit ribosomal RNA", at positions 28 to 523 of the family's 1533-position model. The record is from RNAcentral.